RNAcentral lists this ribosomal RNA (450 nucleotides) under uncultured bacterium. RNAcentral describes it as "partial 16S ribosomal RNA". It matches the Rfam family "Bacterial small subunit ribosomal RNA", at positions 338 to 795 of the family's 1533-position model. The record is from RNAcentral.
CCUACGGGGGGCUGCAGUAAGGAAUAUUGGUCAAUGGACGCAAGUCUGAACCAGCCAUGCCGCGUGGAGGAUGAAGGUCCUCUGGAUUGUAAACUUCUUUUAUUUGGGAAGAAACUCGCGAUUUCCAUCGGGAUUGACGGUACCAGAUGAAUAAGCACCGGCUAACUCCGUGCCAGCAGCCGCGGUAAUAAGGAGGGUGCAGGCGUUAUCCGGAUUCACUGGGUUGUAGGUGGGCGUGUAUGUCAGUGGUGAAAUCUCAGGGCUUAACCCGGAAACUGCCAUUGAUACUAUUUGUCUUGAAUACUCUGGAGGUGAGCGGAAUAUGUCAUGUAGCGGUGAAAUGCUUAGAGAUGACAUAGAACACCCAUUGCGAAGGCAGCUCACUACGGAAAUAUUGACGCUGAGGCACGAAAGCGUGGGGAUCAAACAGGAUUAGAUACCCUAGUAGUC